GAUAAGGGGUGAUGCUUAUGGUUAAGAGCUUUGUCCCUGGAAAGGAAUAAAGUUGUCAGUAUAUGAAGCAAUACAACUCAUGCUCGCAUUUGCGACAUUUGUGCUGUUGCUAAUUGACAAAAAAGACCAAAAAAAUAACCAUCUAAACCACUUUUAGCCAAGUUUUUAGAUGGUCAAUACUAUAAAAAAGCUACCGUCUUUUUAACGGCACGAAUUACUGAUGAAGGGAUUGUUUGCGCAAUCCCUU
This 247-nucleotide small RNA is filed under the name Enterococcus hirae ATCC 9790. Its description in RNAcentral is "BsrG". The stretch from base 1 to 123 matches the Rfam family "Listeria sRNA rli28", at positions 60 to 186 of the family's 186-position model. The record is from Rfam by way of RNAcentral. Lineage: Bacteria; Bacillati; Bacillota; Bacilli; Lactobacillales; Enterococcaceae.